Molecule: ribosomal RNA, 700 nt
Filed under: Methylophilales bacterium
Lineage: Bacteria; Pseudomonadati; Pseudomonadota; Betaproteobacteria; Nitrosomonadales
Description: bacterial SSU rRNA
Rfam family: Bacterial small subunit ribosomal RNA
Source: RNAcentral
GUCGAACGGCAGCAUGGAGAGCUUGCUCUCUGAUGGCGAGUGGCGAACGGGUGAGUAAUAUAUCGGAACGUGCCCAGUAAUGGGGAAUAACUAAUUGAAAGAUUAGCUAAUACCGCAUACGACCUACGGGUGAAAGCAGGGGAUCUUCGGACCUUGCGUUAUUGGAGCGGCCGAUAUCUGAUUAGCUAGUUGGUGGGGUAAAAGCCUACCAAGGCGACGAUCAGUAGCUGGUCUGAGAGGACGAUCAGCCACACUGGAACUGAGACACGGUCCAGACUCCUACGGGAGGCAGCAGUGGGGAAUUUUGGACAAUGGGGGAAACCCUGAUCCAGCCAUCCCGCGUGAGUGAAGAAGGCCUUCGGGUUGUAAAGCUCUUUCGGAAGUGAAGAAAACUUAUUUCGUAAUAUGUUAUAAGAAUGACGGUAACUUUAGAAGAAGCACCGGCUAACUACGUGCCAGCAGCCGCGGUAAUACGUAGGGUGCGAGCGUUAAUCGGAAUUACUGGGCGUAAAGCGUGCGCAGGCGGUUUUGUAAGUCAGAUGUGAAAUCCCCGAGCUUAACUUGGGAACUGCGUUUGAAACUACAAGACUAGAGUGUGUCAGAGGGGGGUAGAAUUCCACGUGUAGCAGUGAAAUGCGUAGAGAUGUGGAGGAAUAUCAAUGGCGAAGGCAGCCCCCUGGGAUAACACUGACGCUCAUGC